RNAcentral lists this ribosomal RNA (268 nucleotides) under uncultured Staphylococcus sp. RNAcentral's name for it is "partial 16S ribosomal RNA". It matches the Rfam family "Bacterial small subunit ribosomal RNA", at positions 505 to 772 of the family's 1533-position model. Lineage: Bacteria; Bacillati; Bacillota; Bacilli; Caryophanales; Staphylococcaceae. The record is from RNAcentral.
GUGCCAGCCGCCGCGGUAAUACGUAGGUGGCAAGCGUUAUCCGGAAUUAUUGGGCGUAAAGCGCGCGUAGGCGGUUUUUUAAGUCUGAUGUGAAAGCCCACGGCUCAACCGUGGAGGGUCAUUGGAAACUGGAAAACUUGAGUGCAGAAGAGGAAAGUGGAAUUCCAUGUGUAGCGGUGAAAUGCGCAGAGAUAUGGAGGAACACCAGUGGCGAAGGCGACUUUCUGGUCUGUAACUGGCGCUGAUGUGCGAAAGCGUGGGGAUCAAA